RNAcentral lists this transfer RNA (80 nucleotides) under Mycoplasmopsis bovis. RNAcentral describes it as "Mycoplasma bovis tRNA-Arg". It matches the Rfam family "tRNA". From Rfam's summary of the family: Transfer RNA (tRNA) molecules are approximately 80 nucleotides in length. Their secondary structure includes four short double-helical elements and three loops (D, anti-codon, and T loops). Lineage: Bacteria; Bacillati; Mycoplasmatota; Mycoplasmoidales; Metamycoplasmataceae. The record is from RNAcentral.
GGUCGCGUAGGCUCAGCAGGAUAGAGCACAAGCCUUCUAAGGCUUGUUGUCAGAGGUUCAGAAUCCUCUCGUGAUCGCCA